RNAcentral lists this ribosomal RNA (507 nucleotides) under Beauveria bassiana. RNAcentral describes it as "eukaryotic LSU rRNA". The stretch from base 142 to 295 matches the Rfam family "5.8S ribosomal RNA". Lineage: Eukaryota; Fungi; Ascomycota; Sordariomycetes; Hypocreales; Cordycipitaceae. The record is from RNAcentral.
CCCUUCUGUGACCUACCUAUCGUUGCUUCGGCGGACUCGCCCCAGCCCGGACGCGGACUGGACCAGCGGCCCGCCGGGGACCUCAAACUCUUGUAUUCCAGCAUCUUCUGAAUACGCCGCAAGGCAAAACAAAUGAAUCAAAACUUUCAACAACGGAUCUCUUGGCUCUGGCAUCGAUGAAGAACGCAGCGAAACGCGAUAAGUAAUGUGAAUUGCAGAAUCCAGUGAAUCAUCGAAUCUUUGAACGCACAUUGCGCCCGCCAGCAUUCUGGCGGGCAUGCCUGUUCGAGCGUCAUUUCAACCCUCGACCUCCCCUUGGGGAGGUCGGCGUUGGGGACCGGCAGCACACCGCCGGCCCUGAAAUGGAGUGGCGGCCCGUCCGCGGCGACCUCUGCGCAGUAAUACAGCUCGCACCGGGACCCCGACGCGGCCACGCCGUAAAACACCCAACUUCUGAACGUUGACCUCGAAUCAGGUAGGACUACCCGCUGAACUUAAGCAUAUCAA